GACGAACGCUGGCGGCGUGCUUAACACAUGCAAGUCGAACGAUGAAGCCAGCUUGUUGGUGGAUUAGUGGCGAACGGGUGAGUAACACGUGGGUGAUCUGCCCCAAACUUUGGGAUAAGCCUGGGAAACUGGGUCUAAUACCGAAUAUGACCGAUACUCGCAUGGGUGUUGGUGGAAAGCUCCGGCGGUUUGGGAUGGGCCCGCGGCCUAUCAGCUUGUUGGUGGGGUAAUGGCCUACCAAGGCGACGACGGGUAGCCGGCCUGAGAGGGCGACCGGCCACACUGGGACUGAGACACGGCCCAGACUCCUAUGGGAGGCAGCAGUGGGGAAUAUUGCACAAUGGGCGGAAGCCUGAUGCAGCGACGCCGCGUGAGGGAUGACGGCCUUCGGGUUGUAAACCUCUUUCACCAGGGACGAAGCGAAAGUGACGGUACCUGGAGAAGAAGCACCGGCCAACUACGUG
This 464-nucleotide ribosomal RNA is filed under the name uncultured bacterium. Its description in RNAcentral is "partial 16S ribosomal RNA". It matches the Rfam family "Bacterial small subunit ribosomal RNA", at positions 28 to 507 of the family's 1533-position model. The record is from RNAcentral.